AAACCAUGCAUCGGGCAUUUUCUAAUUAACUCUUUGAAUCGCUCACAAGUUUCAUAUAAUGUUUCGUCCUUAGAUUGUCAAAGGACGUAAUAUCAUUCCUCAGUUU
Non-coding RNA from Gossypium raimondii (Peruvian cotton), 106 nucleotides. The record is from Rfam. Lineage: Eukaryota; Viridiplantae; Streptophyta; Magnoliopsida; Malvales; Malvaceae.